GUGGGGAAUAUUGGGCAAUGGGGGCAACCCUGACCCAGCGACGCCGCGUGGGUGAAGAAAUCCUUCGGGAUGUAAAGCCCUGUUGUAUGGGAAGAGCAGAAGACGGUACCAUACGAGGAAGCCCCGGCAAACUACGUGCCAGCAGCCGCGGUAAUACGUAGGGGGCAAGCGUUGUCCGGAAUUACUGGGCGUAAAGCGCACGCAGGCUGAAUUAUAAGUCGGUAGUCAAAUACGGAGGCUCAACUUCCGGAUAUCUAUCGAUACUGUAAAUCUAGAGUAUGUGAGAGGGAAGCGGAAUUCCCGGUGGAGCGGUGAAAUGCGUAGAUAUCGGGAGGAACACCAGUGGCGAAGGCGGCUUCCUGGCACAAUACUGACGCUCAUGUGCGAAAGCUAGGGCAGCGAACGGGAUUAGAAACCCUAGUAGUCC
RNAcentral lists this ribosomal RNA (427 nucleotides) under uncultured bacterium. RNAcentral describes it as "partial 16S ribosomal RNA". It matches the Rfam family "Bacterial small subunit ribosomal RNA", at positions 354 to 796 of the family's 1533-position model. The record is from RNAcentral.